GACGAACGCUGGCGGCGUGCUUAACACAUGCAAGUCGAACGGAAAGGCCCUGCUUUUUUGGUGUGCUCGAGUGGCGAACGUGUGAGUAACACGUGAGUAACCUGCCCUUGACUUUGGGAUAACUUCGGGAAACUGGGUCUUAUACCGGAUAGGAGCUCCUGCUGCAUUGUGGGGUUUGGAAAGUUUCGGCGGUUGGGGAUGGACUCGCGGCUUAUCAGCUUGUUGGUGGGGUAGUGGCUUACCAAGGCUUUGACGGGUAGCCGGCCUGAGAGGGUGACCGGCCACAUUGGGACUGAGAUACGGCCCAGACUCCUACGGGAGGCAGCAGUGGGGAAUAUUGCACAAUGGGCGGAAGCCUGAUGCAGCAACGCCGCGUGCGGGAUGACGGCCUUCGGGUUGUAAACCGCUUUCGCCUGUGACGAAGCGUGAGUGACGGUAAUGGGUAAAGAAGCACCGGCUAACUACGUG
Molecule: ribosomal RNA, 468 nt
Filed under: uncultured bacterium
Lineage: Bacteria
Description: partial 16S ribosomal RNA
Rfam family: Bacterial small subunit ribosomal RNA
Source: RNAcentral